CAGUACCUACGGGACGCAGCAGUCGGGAAUAUUGCGCAAUGGAGGAAACUCUGAUGCAGUGACGCCGCGUAUAGGAAGAAGGUUUUCGGAUUGUAAACUAUUGUCGUGAGGGAAGAAAUUGACAGUACCUCAGGAGGAAGCUCCGGCUAACUAUGUGCCAGCAGCCGCGGUAAUACAUAGGGAGCAAGCGUUAUCCGGAUUUAUUGGGUGUAAAGGGUGCGUAGACGGGAAAUUAAGUUAGUUGUGAAAUCCCUCGGCUUAACUGAGGAACUGCACCUAAAACUGGUUUUCUUGAGUACUGGAGG
This 305-nucleotide ribosomal RNA is filed under the name uncultured bacterium. RNAcentral's name for it is "bacterial SSU rRNA". It matches the Rfam family "Bacterial small subunit ribosomal RNA", at positions 334 to 655 of the family's 1533-position model. The record is from RNAcentral.